UCAAGCUAAAAAGGGCGCAAGGUGAAUGCCUUGGCACUGGGAGCCGAUGAAAGACGUGGUAAGCUGCGAAAAGCUUCGGGGAGGAGCAAACAUCCAUUGAUCCGGAGAUAUCUGAAUGGGGCAACCCAAUGGAGUUCAUACUCCAUUAUCCAAUACUGAAUCCAUAGGUAUUGGAAGGGAACCGCCUGAACUGAAACAUCUAAGUAGGGCGAGGAAGAGACAUCAAACGAGAUUCCGUAAGUAGUGGCGAGCGAACGCGGAAGAGGGCAAACCGAGAGUAGAAAUACUUUCGGGGUACGGAGCGCAUUUAGGACUUAAGUUGUUAACCGAACGGCAUGGGAAGGCCGGUCAGAGAGUGUGAGAACCACGUAGGUGAAAACGGAGAGAGCUGCGCAGGAUCCAGAGUACGGCCAGACACGUGAAACCUGGUCGGAAUAUGGGGGGACCACCCUCCAACCCUAAAUACUACCCAGUGACCGAUAGCGUAUAGUACUGUGAAGGAAAGGUGAAAAGGACCCCGGGAGGGGAGUGAAAGAGAACCUGAAACCUUGUGCCUACAAGCACAUAGAGCCCGUCAAAGGGUGAUAUGGUACUUUUUGUAGAACGGUCCGGCGAGCGAUUGUACGUUGCGAGCUUAAGGUCUUAAGGACUGGAGGCGUAGCGAGAGCGAGUCUAAACAGGGCGUUUAGUAGCGUGCAAUGGGCCCGAAACCGGGUGACCUACCCAUGAUCAGGCUGAAGUGAAAGUAAAAUUUCAUGGAGGGCCGAACCGACCUCCGUUGAAAAGGCGGCGGAUGAAUUGUGGGUAGCGGAGAAAUUCCAAUCGAACUCGGAGAUAGCUGGUUCUCCCCGAAAUAGCUUUAGGGCUAGCCUCAUGUUAGAUAUCCGGAGGUAAAGCACUGAAUGGCCUAGCGUCCGAGAGGAUAGCGAAGCCUAUCAAACUAAGAAUGCCGGAAUAUUGAUGCAUGGGAGUCAGACAGUGUGAGAUAAAUCUCAUUGUCAAAAGGGAAACAGCCCAGAUCUACAGCUAAGGUCCCAAAUUGUAUCUAAGUGGAAAACGAUGUGGAAAUACGCAGACAACCAGGAUGUUGGCUCAGAAGCAGCCACUCAUUUAAAGAGUGCGUAAUAGCUCACUGGUCGAGCGUCUCUGCGCGGAAAAUUUAACGGGGCUAAGAUACAAACCGAAGCUUAGGCUGCACUUUUAGUGCGGGGUAGGGGAGCGUUGUGUAAGCGGAGAAACAGUAGCGUAAGCGGCUGUGGAGUUUACAGAAGUGAGAAUGCCGGAAUGAGUAGCGCGAAUGAUGUGAGAAUCAUCAUGGCCGGAAACCUCAGGUUUUUGGAGGAAGGUUCGUCCGCUCCAAGUUAGGCGGGAGCUAAGGUGAGGCCGAAAGGCGUAGCCGAUGCACAGACGGUAGAGAUUCCGUCCCCACCGAAAGAUUUAAGCGCAGGGACACUUUUAGAAGGUCGGAGCCAGGUGUUGGUUCUGGUAGAGAUCGAGGGAAAUUUAGUACCGAAGUCCGGCUGGAUAAGAGGCGAGAAAAGCUGCGUGUAUAUCUAAGGUGCCCGUACCGCAAACCGACACAGGUAGGUAGGAAGAAGAUUCUAAGGCCAACGGGAGAAGGGUUGUUAAGGAACUCGGCAAAUUGACCCCGUAACUUCGGGAGAAGGGGUGCUCCAGAGAUGGAGCCGCAGAGAAUCGGCCCAAGCAACUGUUUACCAAAAACACAGGUUUGUGCUAAAUCGAAAGAUGACGUAUACGAGCUGACGCCUGCCCGGUGCUGGAAGGUUAAGAGGAGAUGUGCAAGCAUUGAAUCGAAGCCCCAGUGAACGGCGGCCGUAACUAUAACGGUCCUAAGGUAGCGAAAUUCCUUGUCAGGUAAG
This 1880-nucleotide ribosomal RNA is filed under the name human gut metagenome. Its description in RNAcentral is "bacterial LSU rRNA". It matches the Rfam family "Bacterial large subunit ribosomal RNA", at positions 3 to 1980 of the family's 2925-position model. The record is from RNAcentral.